GAUGAACGCUGGCGGCGUGCCUAAUACAUGCAAGUCGAGCGAACAGACGAGGAGCUUGCUCCUCUGACGUUAGCGGCGGACGGGUGAGUAACACGUGGAUAACCUACCUAUAAGACUGGGAUAACUUCGGGAAACCGGAGCUAAUACCGGAUAAUAUAUUGAACCGCAUGGUUCAAUAGUGAAAGACGGUUUUGCUGUCACUUAUAGAUGGAUCCGCGCCGCAUUAGCUAGUUGGUAAGGUAACGGCUUACCAAGGCAACGAUGCGUAGCCGACCUGAGAGGGUGAUCGGCCACACUGGAACUGAGAUACGGUCCAGACUCCUACGGGAGGCAGCAGUAGGGAAUCUUCCGCAAUGGGCGAAAGCCUGACGGAGCAACGCCGCGUGAGUGAUGAAGGUCUUCGGAUCGUAAAACUCUGUUAUUAGGGAAGAACAAAUGUGUAAGUAACUAUGCACGUCUUGACGGUACCUAAUCAGAAGGCCACGGCUAACUACGUG
RNAcentral lists this ribosomal RNA (497 nucleotides) under uncultured bacterium. Its description in RNAcentral is "partial 16S ribosomal RNA". It matches the Rfam family "Bacterial small subunit ribosomal RNA", at positions 28 to 507 of the family's 1533-position model. The record is from RNAcentral.